UACAGAGGGUGCAAGCGUUAAUCGGAAUUACUGGGCGUAAAGCGUGCGUAGACGGUUACGUAAGUCGGAUGUGAAAGCCCCGGGCUCAACCUGGGAAUUGCAUUCGAGACUGCGUAGCUAGGAUGCGGAAGAGGGAAGCGGAAUUUCCGGUGUAGCGGUGGAAUGCGUAGAUAUCGGAAGGAACACCAGUGGCGAAAGCGGCUUCCUGGUCCAGCAUCGACGUUCAGGCACGAAAGCGUGGGGAGCAAACAGG
RNAcentral lists this ribosomal RNA (253 nucleotides) under uncultured bacterium. RNAcentral's name for it is "partial 16S ribosomal RNA". It matches the Rfam family "Bacterial small subunit ribosomal RNA", at positions 524 to 776 of the family's 1533-position model. The record is from RNAcentral.